This 270-nucleotide ribosomal RNA is filed under the name uncultured archaeon. RNAcentral describes it as "partial 16S ribosomal RNA". It matches the Rfam family "Archaeal small subunit ribosomal RNA", at positions 477 to 747 of the family's 1478-position model. The record is from RNAcentral.
CAGCACCUCAAGUGGUCAGGAUGAUUAUUGGGCCUAAAGCAUCCGUAGCCUGCUUUGUUAGUUUUCGGUUAAAUCUGUACGCUCAACGUACAGGCUGCCGGGAAUACUGCAGCGCUAGGGAGUGGGAGAGGUAGACGGUACUCGGUAGGAAGGGGUAAAAUCCUUUGAUCUAUUGAUGACCACCUGUGGCGAAGGCGGUCUACCAGAACACGUCCGACGGUGAGGGAUGAAAGCUGGGGGAGCAAACCGGAUUAGAUACCCGAGUAGUCC